UUCUGUAAGCCUGCGAAGGUGGCCUGUGAGGGUUGCUGGAGGUAUCAGAAGUGCGAAUGCUGACAUAAGUAACGAUAAAGCGGGUGAAAAGCCCGCUCGCCGGAAGACCAAGGGUUCCUGUCCAACGUUAAUCGGGGCAGGGUGAGUCGACCCCUAAGGCGAGGCCGAAAGGCGUAGUCGAUGGGAAACGGGUUAAUAUUCCCGUACUUGGUGUUACUGCGAAGGGGGGACGGAGAAGGCUAUGUUGGCCGGGCGACGGUUGUCCCGGUUUAAGCGUGUAGGUGUGUGUUCCAGGUAAAUCCGGUUCACUUUAACACUGAGGCGUGACGACGAGGCACUACGGUGCUGAAGCAACAAAUGCCCUGCUUCCAGGAAAAGCCUCUAAGCAUCAGGUAACAUCAAAUCGUACCCCAAACCGACACAGGUGGUCAGGUAGAGAAUACCAAGGCGCUUGAGAGAACUCGGGUGAAGGAACUAGGCAAAAUGGUGCCGUAACUUCGGGAGAAGGCACGCUGACACGUAGGUGAAGUGAUUUACUCACGGAGCUGAAGUCAGUCGAAGAUACCAGCUGGCUGCAACUGUUUAUUAAAAACACAGCACUGUGCAAACACGAAAGUGGACGUAUACGGUGUGACGCCUGCCCGGUGCCGGAAGGUUAAUUGAUGGGGUCAGCGCAAGCGAAGCUCCUGAUCGAAGCCCCGGUAAACGGCGGCCGUAACUAUAACGGUCCUAAGGUAGCGAAAUUCCUUGUCGGGUAAGUUCCGACCUGCACGAAUGGCGUAAUGAUGGCCAGGCUGUCUCCACCCGAGACUCAGUGAAAUUGAACUCGCUGUGAAGAUGCAGUGUACCCGCGGCAAGACGGAAAGACCCCGUGAACCUUUACUAUAGCUUGACACUGAACAUUGAGCCUUGAUGUGUAGGAUAGGUGGGAGGCUUUGAAGCGUGGACGCCAGUCUGCGUGGAGCCGACCUUGAAAUACCACCCUUUAAUGUUUGAUGUUCUAACGUGGACCCGUGAUCCGGGUUGCGGACAGUGUCUGGUGGGUAGUUUGACUGGGGCGGUCUCCUCCUAAAGAGUAACGGAGGAGCACGAAGGUUGGCUAAUCCUGGUCGGACAUCAGGAGGUUAGUGCAAUGGCAUAAGCCAGCUUGACUGCGAGCGUGACGGCGCGAGCAGGUGCGAAAGCAGGUCAUAGUGAUCCGGUGGUUCUGAAUGGAAGGGCCAUCGCUCAACGGAUAAAAGGUACUCCGGGGAUAACAGGCUGAUACCGCCCAAGAGUUCAUAUCGACGGCGGUGUUUGGCACCUCGAUGUCGGCUCAUCACAUCCUGGGGCUGAAGUAGGUCCCAAGGGUAUGGCUGUUCGCCAUUUAAAGUGGUACGCGAGCUGGGUUUAGAACGUCGUGAGACAGUUCGGUCCCUAUCUGCCGUGGGCGCUGGAGAACUGAGGGGGGCUGCUCCUAGUACGAGAGGACCGGAGUGGACGCAUCACUGGUGUUCGGGUUGUCAUGCCAAUGGCACUGCCCGGUAGCUAAAUGCGGAAGAGAUAAGUGCUGAAAGCAUCUAAGCACGAAACUUGCCCCGA
Molecule: ribosomal RNA, 1581 nt
Filed under: Salmonella enterica
Lineage: Bacteria; Pseudomonadati; Pseudomonadota; Gammaproteobacteria; Enterobacterales; Enterobacteriaceae
Description: partial 23S ribosomal RNA
Rfam family: Bacterial large subunit ribosomal RNA
Source: RNAcentral